Pan troglodytes (chimpanzee) is the source of this 98-nucleotide microRNA precursor. It matches the Rfam family "mir-544 microRNA precursor family". NCBI's taxonomy places the organism in Eukaryota, Metazoa, Chordata, Mammalia, Primates, Hominidae. The record is from Rfam.
AUCCCCUGGGGAUCUUGUUAAAAUUCAGACUUGAAUUCAGCCAUUGUUGGCCAGGGCCCAAAAUUCUGCAUUUCUAGCAAAUUCCCAGGUGAUGCCAA